RNAcentral lists this ribosomal RNA (211 nucleotides) under uncultured bacterium. RNAcentral describes it as "partial 16S ribosomal RNA". It matches the Rfam family "Bacterial small subunit ribosomal RNA", at positions 125 to 334 of the family's 1533-position model. The record is from RNAcentral.
CCUGCCCUUGAGUGAGGAAUAACCAUCGGAAACGGUGGCUAAUACCUCAUGAUGUCUGAUUCUCGCAUGGGAAUUUGAUCAAAGCCUUCGGGCGCUCAGGGAUGGGCCUGCGUCGGAUUAGCUUGUUGGUGAGGUAAUGGCUCACCAAGGCAACGAUCCGUAGCUGGUCUGAGAGGAUGAUCAGCCACACUGGCACUGAGACACGGGCCAG